CGAACGGGUGAGUAAUACGUGAGUAACCUACCUUUAACUCUGGGAUAAGCCUGGGAAACUGGGUCUAAUACCGGAUACGACCAAUCUCCGCAUGGAGUGUUGGUGGAAAGCGUUAUGUAGUGGUUAUAGAUGGGCUCACGGCCUAUCAGCUUGUUGGUGAGGUAACGGCUCACCAAGGCGACGACGGGUAGCCGGCCUGAGAGGGUGACCGGCCACACUGGGACUGAGACACGGCCCAG
RNAcentral lists this ribosomal RNA (239 nucleotides) under uncultured bacterium. Its description in RNAcentral is "partial 16S ribosomal RNA". It matches the Rfam family "Bacterial small subunit ribosomal RNA", at positions 99 to 334 of the family's 1533-position model. RNAcentral also lists the same sequence under 1 other name. The record is from RNAcentral.